RNAcentral lists this long non-coding RNA (1661 nucleotides) under Citrus x clementina. Its description in RNAcentral is "Citrus clementina (C. clementina) long non-coding RNA (CCLE_LNC001367)". The record is from RNAcentral. Lineage: Eukaryota; Viridiplantae; Streptophyta; Magnoliopsida; Sapindales; Rutaceae.
GUGCCACUGCCUGGUGCUUUGAGGGGCCUGCUGUGUUUUGGAAUGUAAUGUCUCGGGCCAAGAAUCCUUCACCAACAACAGCUGCAUGACAUAUGACGUACGCAUGUUGAGAAAGAAAAAUAAACGUUAGUAUGAUGACAUGAGAUGCACGUAAAAUCGUUUAAUGAGACAAAAAAAAAAUGCAUGUGAACAAAGAGACAAAUUUAAUUAAUUAGUGAAUUGACAGUGUGAUUAAACGAUUGAAUUGAAGGAAAGAGACAUGGGAAGCUUCAAGGAAGCAUCAGUGGCUAGACAGUGGCAUCUAAAAGGGUUACGUAAAAAAGUAUCAAAAGUCAGAAUCAAACUAUACAUGUUCCAAAAUAAUAAGUGUGUCUAUAGACUAUAUAUGAUGAAUAAAGCAAUCUAUGCUCAGCUGUAAACCACACUCUUCAGUCUUUACUCAUCAUCAACUUGUCCACACGGGGGAAAAGCAAACCUGUGGUCAGUUGAAAUUUAUAUACACAUGCAUAUAUAAAUUAUAGCAGACACUGGUAUUAAUAAAGUGCUUUCUGGGUCACCAAUUAUUCAUUUUCUAAAAGGACAGACUGCAGAAAAUUCAAAAAGAUUGGCAUUUCGGAUGUGCUAGUUUUUCAUUUCAUUCCAAAAUUCAAAUAAUUGAGACUUUGUCCAGAUGGCAAGACCUUAUGUCACCCAUGUGCUAGCUUCAAAAAUAAAUAAAUGAUGGGACAAAGAAUCAGCCAUUCUUUGCUGAUUCAUCGCCUCUGAUUUGUGUGUGGACAAAGAGACCCAGAUUUGAUGAGUAUAAUCUGGGACCAACAACGGUAUGACAAACAAGUUAAUGGACAAAUGUCACCACAGUUUUAAAACUAGAAGACUUUUGUUCCAAGGGGCAAUUGAUUUAGUAUAGAGCUGAAAUAUAUCAAGGUUAAAAAAAAAAAGAAAUUAAUCUUUGAAAACUUGAGCAUAGAAGGUCUAGAACGCAAACUUCAAACAUCCAUUUGGUCCGGUUUACACUUCCUACCUAGCUGUACUAUGCUUGAUCUUUUAUGAAAUAUGAAGGAAAAAAAAAAUUCCUCAUGCCGUCGAUGUUUACCUAAAAUUUACAUACAUACAUACAUACAUACAUAUAUAUACAUACAUACAUAUAUAUAUAUAUAUAGUGCGGAAAAGUUUUAAAAUCAGAUAAGUUUUAAAAACCUUCAGUUUUAAAUUUUUAAAAUUAUGCAAUUUUAAAGAUUUUUUGUAUUUUUCUGCACUUUCAAAUUUUUGACCGGAACAUUUCUAUAUAUAUAUAAGUUCAGUGAAUAUUGACGCAGCACCAACUUCAUCAAUGGAGUAAUUAAUAUGGUUGUUUUCUCAACUAAUUCAUCGUGACUACAGAAGAAAAUGUAGACGUGUUGAUACUAACGUAAUAUCAGUUACAAUCUUAUAUCAUCAGGAUUCCGGGCCAGUUUGUAACCGUUGUUUUUCAGAUUAAUUUUCUCAUAAAAAAAUAGUAAUGCAAUUAAUACAGUUAAUGAAAAGUAGACUUACCAACUGUAGCAGACUUGAAAGUUGUGCUUCCAUCAACCACAUUUCUACUUCCUGUGAUGAUAGUUCUAGUCCUUCCGUCACCGAUGAACAUUAUAUUUUUAUGCUUCUUUGUCACCUCAACAUUUUCC